AUAAUAAGUACUCGCGAAAAAUAAGGAAUCUACAAUAUUUUAAAUUUCAGUGGGAACACUUCUUUGUAGUUAUUAAAAAAAGGAUUCAAUGAUUGCUUAAUUCAUGACAGUCAAAAAGUUUUUAUUUAUUAAUAGUCCAAAAGGGUUGAAACGGGAAGGGGGAGUUUGUGUAUAAUCAGUAUUUUUUGCAGAUUUUUUUCUUUUAUUUUAAAAAGGAAGGAAGGGGGGGGGGGGUGUUAUAUAAUGCAAACUGACUGUAAAUUAACUUUGGAGAGAUGUUACAUGUAAAGGUGAAGUUUGUUGAAAUAAAUGUUUGGCAUAUGUAUAUGACAUAAAUAAUUAAACUCAAUUUUUUCUUAUUUUUUGUUGUUGGGUUUUUUUUUUUUUGUUGAAAGCACUAUACACAAAGUGCUGCGUGAGGGUCUAGCUGUGUUGAGACUGAUUUUUCAAUGUUAUAUGUUCAUAGAUGCUUAUGUCAAGUAUGUUUAAAACAUUACUUUACACUUUUGGAAUUAUAUAAAGCUACUUCUUAAGUAAUAUUAAUGGAUAUGUUCAUAUAGAAGAUUUUCUUAUACAGCAUAACACAGUUAUGGUAAAAACACUUAUAACAAAUUGAUGCUUGCAAUGAGUUUUCAUUUCCCAUGACCUUUAAAGUAUUGUGAACUUAAUGGAUAUAAUGAAUUAUAUUAAUUUAUAAUGAAUCAGAAUCAUCCAUCUGGCAC
Long non-coding RNA from Saccostrea cuccullata (small rock oyster), 722 nucleotides. RefSeq lists it as uncharacterized. The record is from RefSeq and is a predicted model, not a curated record. Lineage: Eukaryota; Metazoa; Mollusca; Bivalvia; Ostreida; Ostreidae. The transcript is spliced from 3 exons.